This 301-nucleotide ribosomal RNA is filed under the name uncultured bacterium. RNAcentral describes it as "partial 16S ribosomal RNA". It matches the Rfam family "Bacterial small subunit ribosomal RNA", at positions 509 to 807 of the family's 1533-position model. The record is from RNAcentral.
CAGUCGCCGCGGUAAUACGUAGGGUGCAAGCGUUGUCCGGAAUUAUUGGGCGUAAAGAGCUCGUAGGCGGUUUGUCGCGUCUGCUGUGAAAACGCGAGGCUCAACCUCGCGCCUGCAGUGGGUACGGGCAGACUAGAGUGCGGUAGGGGAGAUUGGAAUUCCUGGUGUAGCGGUGGAAUGCGCAGAUAUCAGGAGGAACACCGAUGGCGAAGGCAGAUCUCUGGGCCGUAACUGACGCUGAGGAGCGAAAGCGUGGGGAGCGAACAGGAUUAGAGACCCCGGUAGUCCCUGUCUCUUAUAC